Long non-coding RNA from Callorhinchus milii (elephant shark), 202 nucleotides. RefSeq lists it as uncharacterized. The transcript has 2 exons. Lineage: Eukaryota; Metazoa; Chordata; Chondrichthyes; Chimaeriformes; Callorhinchidae. The record is from RefSeq and is a predicted model, not a curated record.
UAGAAUUCUAUUCUGUGUAUCUGAGUUUACAAUGUGGUGUCUCAGUGUGAGCUCAGAUCUGUCUGUGUUUUAUUUCAUUAGGAGGAAACUGCUCGGAAGAGAAGGAUCAGUGAUAAGGAUUUUAUGCUGUCACUAUCUGAGGGGGAUCUGCCUGUGGGGAUAUACAAAGGGCCUCUUCAGUACACAGUCUGGAGAGACAUGA